Molecule: ribosomal RNA, 253 nt
Filed under: uncultured bacterium
Lineage: Bacteria
Description: partial 16S ribosomal RNA
Rfam family: Bacterial small subunit ribosomal RNA
Source: RNAcentral
UACGGAGGGGGCUAGCGUUAUUCGGAAUUACUGGGCGUAAAGCGCACGUAGGCGGCUUUGUAAGUUAGAGGUGAAAGCCCGGGGCUCAACCCCGGAAUUGCCUUUAAGACUGCAUCGCUUGAAUCCAGGAGAGGUGAGUGGAAUUCCGAGUGUAGAGGUGAAAUUCGUAGAUAUUCGGAAGAACACCAGUGGCGAAGGCGGCUCACUGGACUGGUAUUGACGCUGAGGUGCGAAAGCGUGGGGAGCAAACAGG